Long non-coding RNA from Musa acuminata AAA Group (dessert banana), 269 nucleotides. RefSeq lists it as uncharacterized. The transcript has 2 exons. Lineage: Eukaryota; Viridiplantae; Streptophyta; Magnoliopsida; Zingiberales; Musaceae. The record is from RefSeq and is a predicted model, not a curated record.
GAAUGUAGAAAUAACCCAGAUAGAACAGUAUCCCAUUGAAGAUGAUUUGAUCGUCCCUGUUGUAUUUCUCUUUAUGUCAAGCAGGUGAGGGAAAAACAAAUCCUUAAAAAAGGAAGGUGUGCUUACCAGUUUCUCUCCCUGUCGACCUGCUCAAACUCGAUGCUCUUGUCAACGAUCCGGUUCUUGCUGCGUGCGUUCUGGAAGCGAGCUAAACUGAUCCAGACUUGGUUGUGGAGCAUCCUCAACAGCAAAGACGGGAGUAUGAUGAG